Molecule: ribosomal RNA, 446 nt
Filed under: uncultured bacterium
Lineage: Bacteria
Description: bacterial SSU rRNA
Rfam family: Bacterial small subunit ribosomal RNA
Source: RNAcentral
ACCUACGGGAGGCAGCAGUGGGGAAUUUUCCGCAAUGGGCGCAAGCCUGACGGAGCAAUACCGCGUGAGGGAUGACGGCCUUUGGGUUGUAAACCUCUUUUAUCAAGGAGGAAGUUCUGACGUGUACUUGAUGAAUAAGCAUCGGCUAACUCCGUGCCAGCAGCCGCGGUAAGACGGAGGAUGCAAGUGUUAUCCGGAAUCACUGGGCGUAAAGCGUCUGUAGGUGGUUUAAAAAGUCUACUGUUAAAAAUUGAAGCUUAACUUCAAAGAUGCCGUAGAAACUUUUAAACUCGAGGAUGGUAGGGGUAGAGGGAAUUUCCAGUGGAGCGGUGAAAUGCGUAGAUCUUGGAAAGACCACCAAUGGCGAAGGCACUCUACUGGGCCAUUACUGACACUAAGAGACGAAAGCUAGGGGAGCAAAUGGGAUUAGAUACCCCGGUAGUCCC